Molecule: ribosomal RNA, 515 nt
Filed under: uncultured bacterium
Lineage: Bacteria
Description: partial 16S ribosomal RNA
Rfam family: Bacterial small subunit ribosomal RNA
Source: RNAcentral
GAUGAACGCUGGCGGCGUGCCUAAUACAUGCAAGUCGAGCGAAUGGAUUGAGAGCUUGCUCUUAUGAAGUUAGCGGCGGACGGGUGAGUAACACGUGGGUAACCUGCCCAUAAGACUGGGAUAACUCCGGGAAACCGGGGCUAAUACCGGAUAACAUUUUGAACCGCAUGGUUCGAAAUUGAAAGGCGGCUUCGGCUGUCACUUAUGGAUGGACCCGCGUCGCAUUAGCUAGUUGGUGAGGUAACGGCUCACCAAGGCAACGAUGCGUAGCCGACAUGAGAGGGUGAUCGGCCACACUGGGACGGAGACACGGCCCAGACGCCUGCGGGAGGCAGCAGUAGGGAAUCUUCCGCAAUGGACGAAAGUCUGACGGAGCAACGCCGCGUGAGUGAUGAAGGCUUUCGGGUCGUAAAACUCUGUUGUUAGGGAAGAACAAGUGCUAGUUGAAUAAGCUGGCACCUUGACGGUACCUAACCAGAAAGCCACGGCUAACUACGUGCCAGCCGCCGCGGUAA